CAGCUCCCGGCUGGGGCCGCCCCCUCCAGGGUUAGCCCGCCGGGCUGCGGCCAGGGGAGGGGGCGGAGCCGCAGGGUGGAGGGGAGGCGUCGGAGCGGGGCGCGGGGCACCGAACUCCUCGUGCGGGGGCCUCCGGCGGGACGGGGUCGUGGCACCUCGGCGUUCCCACCUCCUCCGCGACCCUUCGCAGUGCUGCGCGGGUUAGGGGCGGGCCGAGACCCUGGCGUGCUAAGAGGUUCCUUCUUGGAUUGAGACCUCUUUCUCCCGAGGGGAAGACCCAACCCUUAGCUCUACUGUGCACCUCCAUCCACUGCCCCAAAGCCAAAUGUAUCCCACACCUUUGGUGCAGCGAAAAUGAACAUAGGAAAGAUUUUCUUACAAAAGUAAUCUCUCUGGCCCUCUCAGAACUGCCUACACGACUUCCUCCAGAGCCCUGGAUCCUCCAGAGGCCCUAAACCCGUUAUUACUCGCGAUUGCAGAGUAAAUCCGUUUCUAUAUCCGUGGAGAUAACGACCUUAGGGCAGUGUAUCCAUACUUCAGUCUGGAAAAACUUGCAGCAUUUUAUAGUUGUCUGGGGCCUAAGGAAUAAUGUUAUUUGUUCAAUAAUUACUUUCAAAGGGGGUGGGGGGGGCUCUAAAUACUUGAGUGUUGGUUAGGGAUUAUUAGGUGUGAGGCUAUAAAUAAGUACCUUGCAAGAAAAACUCAGGUAUUAGCAAAGACAUGUCUAUAAUUGGCCUUACAAAUAAAAAAGCUUUAAUAAAUAUUAGAAAUAAUCCCCUCAUUGAGCCUAUGCUUUCAAUGUGAUCAUUCCCAUGUACUCCAACCCAAGCCGUAAGACUGAAGGUGCUAGCUUAGCAAUAUUCCUAAUUACCUGUCAAGUGGACCCUGCCCAGCUACUUGGUGGUGUUCCUGGGGAAGACAGCCACUCUCUCCUGACACUCAGGUCUUUCCUUCCCUGUACUGCUGCUUGACUGGUAGGCCCCUCAAGGUAAACUUUGGCUAAGUAUUUGGUUCUAAAUCCCAAUUGUUUCCUGCAACAUCUGAGCCUUCUUCAGCCCCAAGUUCAUUUUUUGUUGUUCUGUUAAGUCCUCUAAACUCAAGUUACUAUGGAUUAGUGUUUUCUAGAAUUUUCAGUAGUUGUGGGGUGGAGAGAAGGGAAGAUUAAAAAAGGAAUGGGGCCGGGUGAGGUCGCUCUCGCUGGUAAUCCCAGCGACUCUGGAGGCUGAAGCAGGAGGAUUGUGAGUUCAAAGCCUCAGUAAAAAAAAAAAAAAGUGAAGCGCUAAGCACUCAGUGAGACCCUGUCUCUAAAUAAAAUACAAAAUAGGGCUGGG
RNAcentral lists this long non-coding RNA (1331 nucleotides) under Marmota monax (woodchuck). Lineage: Eukaryota; Metazoa; Chordata; Mammalia; Rodentia; Sciuridae. The record is from RNAcentral.